UUCAUUCAUUCUUACUUUAGUACCUAUGAUUUAAAGUGUAUCAAAUUAGUCCAUGUGGUUUUGCAUUUUUUCACUUUAGUACUCUAUGGUUUAAAGUGUAUCAAGUUAGUACCCUGUGGUUUCAUUUUUCUUUUUUUAUUAUCUAUUUCACUAUUUUUUUUGUUAAAUCGGUAACAAAGUUAAAAUUAAAGGGUACUAAAGUGAAUAUUCGAUGAAUCUAGAUAGGGUAUCUGAAUUUUUUUGUAUAUAAUUUAACGAAUACUAACGGAGGAAAAAAUAUCAAUGACAAAGUUAAAACUAAAGGUACUAAAAUAAAUAUUCGAUAAAUUUAGGUAGGGUAUCUGAAGUUUUGUCUAUAAUUUAACAAAAUAUUAACAGAGGAACCGACGAAAAGAAAAAAAAUGAAACCACAUGGUACUAAGUUGAUGCACUUUAAACUACAGGAUAGUAAAGUGAAAAAGUGCGAAAUCAUAUGGUACUAACUUGAUAUACUUUAAACCACAUGGUACUAAAGUAAAAAGUGCGAAACCACAAAGGUGGUAUGUGAAAAUUUUCAUUUUUUUGAAUUAAUUGCAUGCAACUCUCUGUGAAUAUAACAAAUAGUAAAUAUAUCCCUACAAAAUUC
RNAcentral lists this long non-coding RNA (625 nucleotides) under Ananas comosus (pineapple). RNAcentral describes it as "long non-coding RNA (ACOM_LNC027629)". The record is from RNAcentral. Lineage: Eukaryota; Viridiplantae; Streptophyta; Magnoliopsida; Poales; Bromeliaceae.